This 2891-nucleotide ribosomal RNA is filed under the name Klebsiella pneumoniae. Its description in RNAcentral is "bacterial LSU rRNA". It matches the Rfam family "Bacterial large subunit ribosomal RNA". The record is from RNAcentral. Lineage: Bacteria; Pseudomonadati; Pseudomonadota; Gammaproteobacteria; Enterobacterales; Enterobacteriaceae.
ACUAAGCGUACACGGUGGAUGCCCUGGCAGUCAGAGGCGAUGAAGGACGUGCUAAUCUGCGAAAAGCGUCGGUAAGGUGAUAUGAACCGUUAUAGCCGGCGAUGUCCGAAUGGGGAAACCCAGUGUGAUUCGUCACACUAUCGUUAACUGAAUACAUAGGUUAACGAGGCGAACCGGGGGAACUGAAACAUCUAAGUACCCCGAGGAAAAGAAAUCAACCGAGAUUCCCCCAGUAGCGGCGAGCGAACGGGGAGCAGCCCAGAGUCUGAAUCAGCUUGUGUGUUAGUGGAACGGUCUGGAAAGUCCGACGGUACAGGGUGAUAGUCCCGUACACCAAAAUGCACAGGCUGUGAACUCGAAGAGUAGGGCGGGACACGUGGUAUCCUGUCUGAAUAUGGGGGGACCAUCCUCCAAGGCUAAAUACUCCUGACUGACCGAUAGUGAACCAGUACCGUGAGGGAAAGGCGAAAAGAACCCCGGCGAGGGGAGUGAAAAAGAACCUGAAACCGUGUACGUACAAGCAGUGGGAGCACCUUCGGGUGUGACUGCGUACCUUUUGUAUAAUGGGUCAGCGACUUAUAUUCUGUAGCAAGGUUAACCGUAUAGGGGAGCCGCAGGGAAACCGAGUCUUAACUGGGCGUUAAGUUGCAGGGUAUAGACCCGAAACCCGGUGAUCUAGCCAUGGGCAGGUUGAAGGUUGGGUAACACUAACUGGAGGACCGAACCGACUAAUGUUGAAAAAUUAGCGGAUGACUUGUGGCUGGGGGUGAAAGGCCAAUCAAACCGGGAGAUAGCUGGUUCUCCCCGAAAGCUAUUUAGGUAGCGCCUCGUGAAUUCAUCUUCGGGGGUAGAGCACUGUUUCGGCUAGGGGGUCAUCCCGACUUACCAACCCGAUGCAAACUACGAAUACCGAAGAAUGUUAUCACGGGAGACACACGGCGGGUGCUAACGUCCGUCGUGAAGAGGGAAACAACCCAGACCGCCAGCUAAGGUCCCAAAGUCAUGGUUAAGUGGGAAACGAUGUGGGAAGGCACAGACAGCCAGGAUGUUGGCUUAGAAGCAGCCAUCAUUUAAAGAAAGCGUAAUAGCUCACUGGUCGAGUCGGCCUGCGCGGAAGAUGUAACGGGGCUAAACCAUGCACCGAAGCUGCGGCAGCGACACUAUGUGUUGUUGGGUAGGGGAGCGUUCUGUAAGCCUGCGAAGGUGUGCUGUGAGGCAUGCUGGAGGUAUCAGAAGUGCGAAUGCUGACAUAAGUAACGAUAAAGCGGGUGAAAAGCCCGCUCGCCGGAAGACCAAGGGUUCCUGUCCAACGUUAAUCGGGGCAGGGUGAGUCGACCCCUAAGGCGAGGCCGAAAGGCGUAGUCGAUGGGAAACAGGUUAAUAUUCCUGUACUUGGUGUUACUGCGAAGGGGGGACGGAGAAGGCUAUGUUAGCCGGGCGACGGUUGUCCCGGUUUAAGCAUGUAGGCUGGUUGUCCAGGCAAAUCCGGAUAAUCAAGGCUGAGGUGUGAUGACGAGGCACUACGGUGCUGAAGUAACAAAUGCCCUGCUUCCAGGAAAAGCCUCUAAGCAUCAGGUAACAUUAAAUCGUACCCCAAACCGACACAGGUGGUCAGGUAGAGAAUACCAAGGCGCUUGAGAGAACUCGGGUGAAGGAACUAGGCAAAAUGGUGCCGUAACUUCGGGAGAAGGCACGCUGGUGUGUAGGUGAAGCCCCUGCGGGUGGAGCUGAGACCAGUCGAAGAUACCAGCUGGCUGCAACUGUUUAUUAAAAACACAGCACUGUGCAAACACGAAAGUGGACGUAUACGGUGUGACGCCUGCCCGGUGCCGGAAGGUUAAUUGAUGGGGUUAUCCGUAAGGAGAAGCUCUUGAUCGAAGCCCCGGUAAACGGCGGCCGUAACUAUAACGGUCCUAAGGUAGCGAAAUUCCUUGUCGGGUAAGUUCCGACCUGCACGAAUGGCGUAAUGAUGGCCAGGCUGUCUCCACCCGAGACUCAGUGAAAUUGAACUCGCUGUGAAGAUGCAGUGUACCCGCGGCAAGACGGAAAGACCCCGUGAACCUUUACUAUAGCUUGACACUGAACAUUGAGCCUUGAUGUGUAGGAUAGGUGGGAGGCUUUGAAGCGUGGACGCCAGUCUGCGUGGAGCCAACCUUGAAAUACCACCCUUUAAUGUUUGAUGUUCUAACGUUGGCCCCUUACCGGGGUUGCGGACAGUGUCUGGUGGGUAGUUUGACUGGGGCGGUCUCCUCCCAAAGCGUAACGGAGGAGCACGAAGGUUAGCUAAUCCUGGUCGGACAUCAGGAGGUUAGUGCAAUGGCAUAAGCUAGCUUGACUGCGAGCGUGACGGCGCGAGCAGGUGCGAAAGCAGGUCAUAGUGAUCCGGUGGUUCUGAAUGGAAGGGCCAUCGCUCAACGGAUAAAAGGUACUCCGGGGAUAACAGGCUGAUACCGCCCAAGAGUUCAUAUCGACGGCGGUGUUUGGCACCUCGAUGUCGGCUCAUCACAUCCUGGGGCUGAAGUAGGUCCCAAGGGUAUGGCUGUUCGCCAUUUAAAGUGGUACGCGAGCUGGGUUUAGAACGUCGUGAGACAGUUCGGUCCCUAUCUGCCGUGGGCGCUGGAGAAUUGAGGGGGGCUGCUCCUAGUACGAGAGGACCGGAGUGGACGCAUCACUGGUGUUCGGGUUGUCAUGCCAAUGGCACUGCCCGGUAGCUAAAUGCGGAAGAGAUAAGUGCUGAAAGCAUCUAAGCACGAAACUUGCCCCGAGAUGAGUUCUCCCUGAGACUUUAAGUCUCCUGAAGGAACGUUGAAGACGACGACGUUGAUAGGCCGGGUGUGUAAGCGCAGCGAUGCGUUGAGCUAACCGGUACUAAUGAACCGUGAGGCUUAACC